UGGCGAACGGGUGAGUAACACGUGGGUGAUCUGCCCUGCACUCUGGGAUAAGCCUGGGAAACUGGGUCUAAUACCGGAUAGGACCACACUUUAGUGUGUGUGGUGGAAAGUUUUUCGGUGUAGGAUGAGCCCGCGGCCUAUCAGCUUGUUGGUGGGGUAAUGGCCUACCAAGGCGGCGACGGGUAGCCGGCCUGAGAGGGUGUACGGCCACAUUGGGACUGAGAUACGGCCCAG
RNAcentral lists this ribosomal RNA (234 nucleotides) under uncultured Corynebacterium sp. RNAcentral's name for it is "partial 16S ribosomal RNA". It matches the Rfam family "Bacterial small subunit ribosomal RNA", at positions 96 to 334 of the family's 1533-position model. Lineage: Bacteria; Bacillati; Actinomycetota; Actinomycetes; Mycobacteriales; Corynebacteriaceae. The record is from RNAcentral.